This is a non-coding RNA of Acanthosepion pharaonis, 100 nucleotides long. The record is from the annotation of a GenBank genome assembly. NCBI's taxonomy places the organism in Eukaryota, Metazoa, Mollusca, Cephalopoda, Sepiida, Sepiidae.
GACCACAUCACGUUGGAACACCGGAUCACUGAAGUUAAGCCCCGUCGAGCUUGGUCAGUACCUAGAUGGGUGACCGAUUGGGAAUACCGGGUUCUGUAAG